CCUACGGGAGGCAGCAGUAAGGAAUAUUGGUCAAUGGACGCAAGUCUGAACCAGCCAUGCCGCGUGCAGGAUGACGGCCCUCUGGGUUGUAAACUGCUUUUAUAGGGGACGAAAAAAGGGCUUUCUAGCUCGUCUGACGGUACCCUAGGAAUAAGCACCGGCUAACUCCGUGCCAGCAGCCGCGGUAAUACGGAGGGUGCAAGCGUUAUCCGGAUUUACUGGGUUUAAAGGGUGCGUAGGUGGGUCGGUAAGUCAGCGGUGAAAUCUUCGAGCUUAACUCGGAAACUGCCAUUGAUACUAUCGAUCUUGAAUCAUCUGGAGGUAAGCGGAAUAUGUCAUGUAGCGGUGAAAUGCUUAGAUAUGACAUAGAACACCAAUUGCGAAGGCAGCUUACUACGGAUGCAUUGACACUGAGGCACGAAAGCGUGGGGAUCAAACAGGAUUAGAUACCCUGGUAGUCCACGCCCUAAACGAUAGAUACUCACAUUAGUAGAUAUACUUAAGUUAGUNUGAGAGAAGAGAUAAGUAAUACCACCGACGGUAAGGUAAGUAGUUCGCGAAGAAGUUAGUAAGUUAACGAAAGAAGUAGAGGACGNGAGAGAGCGACGGACGACGACGAGGGAGGAGGAG
This 630-nucleotide ribosomal RNA is filed under the name uncultured bacterium. RNAcentral describes it as "bacterial SSU rRNA". The stretch from base 1 to 536 matches the Rfam family "Bacterial small subunit ribosomal RNA", at positions 338 to 873 of the family's 1533-position model. The record is from RNAcentral.